RNAcentral lists this unclassified non-coding RNA (213 nucleotides) under Hevea brasiliensis (rubber tree). The record is from RNAcentral. Lineage: Eukaryota; Viridiplantae; Streptophyta; Magnoliopsida; Malpighiales; Euphorbiaceae.
UUUAAAUAUUAUUAAUUGGCCAUGUUAUUUUGUUGUAGUAAUUUAUGAAUAGAUAGAUGCCUGUAAGGCUUACGACAACCGAUCAUCAAUUGUUUUAUGGUCCAUCUGUUUUGGGGUUAUUUGGUUUCUCAUUAUGGUUUAGGACCAAGUGCCAAAAAAAAACAGAAAAUGAGGAGGCCUGGGUUUGAUUUAUUUUUUUAAAAAAAAAAAAAA